This is a non-coding RNA of Maylandia zebra (zebra mbuna), 360 nucleotides long. Lineage: Eukaryota; Metazoa; Chordata; Actinopteri; Cichliformes; Cichlidae. The record is from RefSeq and is a predicted model, not a curated record.
UUUUGCAUUUUAAAAUACCACUUUUGAUUUGGAUGAAACUAAAUAUCUGUACAAAGGACACAACGCAAAGUUUUUGAUUUCUCUCAAAACAUAUAUUUCUUUUCAUGUUGAACAGAUAAUAUCUUUAAUUUGAGUCAAAGUGAUUUGCACUUGAACACGCCCACCAGAAAUAGACCGGGACCCAUUUUUAUUCUGCAUGGCUGCUGGAAACAUCGUGUCACAUCUUUGAUUAAUUUCAUCUGAAAAUAAACAACCACAGAUCGCUCCAUCCAUUCCAUGGCUGAAGCAUACAUUUUCAUUUAAUCUGAACAGAUAUCCCAGAAAGAUGAAGCUGAGGAAGAGCUGCAGAGUACCACCAUG